Molecule: non-coding RNA, 75 nt
Organism: Myotis brandtii (Brandt's bat)
Lineage: Eukaryota; Metazoa; Chordata; Mammalia; Chiroptera; Vespertilionidae
Source: Rfam
GGCAGUUCUCAGAUGACACACCCCGGAAUCGGGCUCCCUCCUCUCUGGUUCCAGGUGCAUUUCCCAAGAACCGCA